GAAUGCUGACAUAAGUAACGAUAAAGCGGGUGAAAAGCCCGCUCGCCGGAAGACCAAGGGUUCCUGUCCAACGUUAAUCGGGGCAGGGUGAGUCGACCCCUAAGGCGAGGCCGAAAGGCGUAGUCGAUGGGAAACAGGUUAAUAUUCCUGUACUUGGUGUUACUGCGAAGGGGGGACGGAGAAGGCUAUGUUAGCCGGGCGACGGUUGUCCCGGUUUAAGCAUGUAGGCUGGUUAUCCAGGCAAAUCCGGAUAAUCAAGGCUGAGGUGUGAUGACGAGGCACUACGGUGCUGAAGUAACAAAUGCCCUGCUUCCAGGAAAAGCCUCUAAGCAUCAGGUAACAUCAAAUCGUACCCCAAACCGACACAGGUGGUCAGGUAGAGAAUACCAAGGCGCUUGAGAGAACUCGGGUGAAGGAACUAGGCAAAAUGGUGCCGUAACUUCGGGAGAAGGCACGCUGGUGUGUAGGUGAAGCCCCUGCGGGUGGAGCUGAGACCAGUCGAAGAUACCAGCUGGCUGCAACUGUUUAUUAAAAACACAGCACUGUGCAAACACGAAAGUGGACGUAUACGGUGUGACGCCUGCCCGGUGCCGGAAGGUUAAUUGAUGGGGUUAUCCGUAAGGAGAAGCUCUUGAUCGAAGCCCCGGUAAACGGCGGCCGUAACUAUAACGGUCCUAAGGUAGCGAAAUUCCUUGUCGGGUAAGUUCCGACCUGCACGAAUGGCGUAAUGAUGGCCAGGCUGUCUCCACCCGAGACUCAGUGAAAUUGAACUCGCUGUGAAGAUGCAGUGUACCCGCGGCAAGACGGAAAGACCCCGUGAACCUUUACUAUAGCUUGACACUGAACAUUGAGCCUUGAUGUGUAGGAUAGGUGGGAGGCUUUGAAGCGUGGACGCCAGUCUGCGUGGAGCCAACCUUGAAAUACCACCCUUUAAUGUUUGAUGUUCUAACGUUGGCCCCUUAUCGGGGUUGCGGACAGUGUCUGGUGGGUAGUUUGACUGGGGCGGUCUCCUCCCAAAGCGUAACGGAGGAGCACGAAGGUUAGCUAAUCCUGGUCGGACAUCAGGAGGUUAGUGCAAUGGCAUAAGCUAGCUUGACUGCGAGCGUGACGGCGCGAGCAGGUGCGAAAGCAGGUCAUAGUGAUCCGGUGGUUCUGAAUGGAAGGGCCAUCGCUCAACGGAUAAAAGGUACUCCGGGGAUAACAGGCUGAUACCGCCCAAGAGUUCAUAUCGACGGCGGUGUUUGGCACCUCGAUGUCGGCUCAUCACAUCCUGGGGCUGAAGUAGGUCCCAAGGGUAUGGCUGUUCGCCAUUUAAAGUGGUACGCGAGCUGGGUUUAGAACGUCGUGAGACAGUUCGGUCCCUAUCUGCCGUGGGCGCUGGAGAAUUGAGGGGGGCUGCUCCUAGUACGAGAGGACCGGAGUGGACGCAUCACUGGUGUUCGGGUUGUCAUGCCAAUGGCACUGCCCGGUAGCUAAAUGCGGAAGAGAUAAGUGCUGAAAGCAUCUAAGCACGAAACUUGCCCCGAGAUGAGUUCUCCCUGAGACUUUAAGUC
RNAcentral lists this ribosomal RNA (1553 nucleotides) under Klebsiella pneumoniae. RNAcentral's name for it is "partial 23S ribosomal RNA". It matches the Rfam family "Bacterial large subunit ribosomal RNA", at positions 1292 to 2827 of the family's 2925-position model. Lineage: Bacteria; Pseudomonadati; Pseudomonadota; Gammaproteobacteria; Enterobacterales; Enterobacteriaceae. The record is from RNAcentral.